UGGGGAAUCUUGCGCAAUGGACGAAAGUCUGACGCAGCCACGCCGCGUGAGUGAAGAAGGCCUUCGGGUUGUAAAGCUCUGUCGGAGGGGACGAAAAUACUUGGGGUGAAUAGCCCCAGGGACUGACGGUACCCUCAAAGGAAGCACCGGCUAACUCCGUGCCAGCAGCCGCGGUAAUACGGAGGGUGCAAGCGUUGCUCGGAAUUAUUGGGCGUAAAGGGCAGGUAGGUGGUCCGAUUUGUCUGGGGUGAAAGCCCAGGGCUUAACCCUGGAAGUGCCCCAGAAACGGUCGGACUAGAGUGCUGGAGAGGCUAGCGGAAUACCCGGUGUAGCGGUGAAAUGCGUAGAGAUCGGGUGGAACACCAGAGGCGAAGGCGGCUAGCUGGACAGUGACUGACACUCAACUGCGAAAGCGUGGGGAGCAAACAGG
RNAcentral lists this ribosomal RNA (430 nucleotides) under uncultured bacterium. Its description in RNAcentral is "bacterial SSU rRNA". It matches the Rfam family "Bacterial small subunit ribosomal RNA", at positions 355 to 776 of the family's 1533-position model. The record is from RNAcentral.